Peromyscus eremicus (cactus mouse) is the source of this 324-nucleotide long non-coding RNA. RefSeq lists it as uncharacterized. The record is from RefSeq and is a predicted model, not a curated record. NCBI's taxonomy places the organism in Eukaryota, Metazoa, Chordata, Mammalia, Rodentia, Cricetidae. The transcript has 2 exons.
AUAGAAAGUUGGAGUCUCUGGAAACCAACAGAACUUCCCUGCUUGUCAUGGCUCUUGAAAUUCAAGAAUUCCAGGAUAUAAAUUGUUUUGCCUCAGAAGUCAGGAAAUGGUCCCAUCACUGAGAAUUUCUUUUUGAAGAUAGGAGAAACAUCUUCAUCGACUCUGGAGGGUACACACCUGUGGAGUAGACACCAGGGAAAUUCUUAGACAGCUAUUUUGGCAAGCCUCCUGAGAGAGCUCAUGCAGCUCCACCUCCCAUCAUCUAAACAGCCUGCCUCUACCGGUGUAGGGUCAGAAUAGGUGUAAGUAAAUUGUUUUCAAAUC